This 253-nucleotide ribosomal RNA is filed under the name uncultured bacterium. RNAcentral's name for it is "partial 16S ribosomal RNA". It matches the Rfam family "Bacterial small subunit ribosomal RNA", at positions 524 to 776 of the family's 1533-position model. The record is from RNAcentral.
UACGGGGGGGGCAAGCGUUGUUCGGAAUUACUGGGCGUAAAGGGCUUGUAGGUGGCCAACUAAGUCAGAUGUGAAAUCCCUCGGCUUAACCGGGGAACUGCGUCUGAUACUGGAUGGCUUGAGUGUGGGAGAGGGAUGCGGAAUUCCAGGUGUAGCGGUGAAAUGCGUAGAUAUCUGGAGGAACACCGGUGGCGAAGGCGGCAUCCUGGACCAUUACUGACACUGAAAAGCGAAAGCCAGGGGAGCAAACGGG